AAAACACUCCUACGGGAGGCAGCAGUGGGGAAUCUUGCGCAAUGGGCGAAAGCCUGACGCAGCGACGCCGCGUGAGUGAUGAAGGCCUUCGGGUUGUAAAGCUCUGUGGGGAGAGACGAAUAAGGCAUGGCGAAUACCCAUGGUGAUGACGGUAUCUCCUUAGCAAGCACCGGCUAACUCUGUGCCAGCAGCCGCGGUAAGACAGAGGGUGCAAACGUUGUUCGGAAUUACUGGGCGUAAAGCGCAUGUAGGCGGCCUAGCAGGUCGGAUGUGAAAGCCCUCGGCUCAACCGAGGAAGUGCAUUCGAAACCGCAAGGCUCGAGUCCCGGAGAGGGUAGUG
RNAcentral lists this ribosomal RNA (340 nucleotides) under uncultured bacterium. RNAcentral's name for it is "bacterial SSU rRNA". It matches the Rfam family "Bacterial small subunit ribosomal RNA", at positions 330 to 663 of the family's 1533-position model. The record is from RNAcentral.